Long non-coding RNA from Vespa mandarinia (Asian giant hornet), 957 nucleotides. The record is from RefSeq and is a predicted model, not a curated record. NCBI's taxonomy places the organism in Eukaryota, Metazoa, Arthropoda, Insecta, Hymenoptera, Vespidae.
UUUGUUUCUAUAUAACUUCUUAUCUUUCUUCCUUUUUCUUUUUCAUAAGUUGAUUUUUAAAUAUAUUUAAUACAUAAAAUGUGAUUUUCACAAAUUAUCUAUCACGUCAUUAUAAAUUGUUUUACAAAUAUGUUUUUUUUAAUUUAUUUAAUUCUACUUUUGUAUUCGUAUGAUGUAAAUUUAUCUUUAUAUUGGGAAAUGAUUGGAUAAUGAAGCAAGAUGUAUUAUAAACAUUAAUAAAAAUACAAUUUGUAUAAAGCUAAAAUUCUUCAAAAGUUUAUUGUUAAAAGAAUUAGUUUUUUUAUAACUUAUUCUUCUUUAUUAAUAUUUUGUAUUUAUAUCAAUUUUUUGUAUAUUAUAUUAAUGUUAGAAAUGUCUUUAUAAUCUUCAGCAUAAAAUAUGGCAAAAAUUAUUUUAUAUUAUUCCGCUUAUGUACAAUAAAGGAGACAAUUGUGACUCUAAAUGAUGAUAUUAAAUAUUGAGUCCUUAUUAUUUUGUACAAAAAAUCUAGAUAGAAAAGUAUUUUAUAUACUACCAAAUUAUUUUAAGCAGCUUGAUAAAACAGAGCAACAAUGUCUUGAAAAUAGAAAUUUUUGAUACAAUAUUAUUAUACAUCAUUCAGAUAUGCCUUAUAUGGAAACUGACAAUGUAUUCAGCAUUGGUACGUUGAACUGAUAUAGCAAAUGGAUCUGUUGGAUGAAAAAUAAACGCUACUAAUCUUCUUGCUGCAGUUGGUGCUGUACGACCAAACAUUCCUGCGUACAUUUUGAAUUUUAGAAGACCUGAAUCACGCGCAUAAAAGCUAUGAAAAAUAAAAAAUUACAUGUUAAAUUAUAAUCAAGGUAAUAUAAAAUAAACUUAAAUACCAAUGUACCGAAUAGGAUGUUCUCCAGAAGCUUUAGGUCGUUCCAUCAUAGAUACCCAUUUAUCAUCAUAACAGAACAAAGAUAGAUCAAG